RNAcentral lists this unclassified non-coding RNA (332 nucleotides) under soil metagenome. RNAcentral's name for it is "partial contains 5.8S ribosomal RNA, internal transcribed spacer 2, and large subunit ribosomal RNA". The stretch from base 1 to 120 matches the Rfam family "5.8S ribosomal RNA", at positions 35 to 154 of the family's 154-position model. The record is from RNAcentral.
GAUGAAGAACGCAGCGAAACGCGAUACGUAAUGUGAAUUGCAGAUUUCAGUGAAUCAUCGAAUCUUUGAACGCACAUUGCGCCCGCUAGUAUUCUGGCGGGCAUGCCUGUUCGAGCGUCAUUUCAACCAUCAAGCCCUAGGCUUGCGUUGGAGCCCUGCGGCUGCCGCAGGCUCCCAAAUCCAGUGGCGGGCUCGUCGUCGUACCGAGUGCAGUAAACAUCCUCGCUCAGGGAACGUGACGGGUUCUUGCCGUGAAACCCCCCACAUAUCAAGGUUGACCUCGGAUCAGGUAGGAAUACCCGCUGAACUUAAGCAUAUCAAUAAGCGGAGGA